UACGUAGGGUCCAAGCGUUGUCCGGAUUUAUUGGGCGUAAAGCGCUCGUAGGCGGCUCAGUAAGUCGGAUGUGAAAACUCGGGGCUCAACCCCGAGACGCCAUCCGAUACUGCUGUGGCUUGAGUCUGGUAGGGGAACACGGAAUUCCUGGUGUAGCGGUGAAAUGCGCAGAUAUCAGGAGGAACACCAAUAGCGAAGGCAGCUCGCUGGGACGGUAUUGACGCUAAGGCGCGAAAGCGUGGGGAGCAAACAGG
RNAcentral lists this ribosomal RNA (254 nucleotides) under uncultured bacterium. RNAcentral describes it as "partial 16S ribosomal RNA". It matches the Rfam family "Bacterial small subunit ribosomal RNA", at positions 524 to 776 of the family's 1533-position model. The record is from RNAcentral.